GACGAACGCUGGCGGCGUGCUUAACACAUGCAAGUCGAACGGAAAUUCCCUGCUUUUGUGGGGUGCUCGAGUGGCGAACGGGUGAGUAACACGAGAGUAACCUGCCCUUGACUUUGGGAUAACUUCAGGAAACGGGUGCUAAUACGGGAUAGGAGCUCCUGCUGCAUGGUGGGGGUUGGAAAGUUUCGGCGGUUGGGGAUGGACUCGUGGCUUAUCAGCUUGUUGGUGGGGUAGUGGCUUACCAAGGCUUUGACGGGUAGCCGGCCUGAGAGGGUGACCGGCCACAUUGGGACUGAGAUACGGCCCAGACUCCUACGGGAGGCAGCAGUGGGGAGUAUUGCACAAUGGGCGGAAGCCUGAUGCAGCAACGCCGCGUGCGGGAUGACGGCCUUCGGGUUGUAAACCGCUUUCGCCUGUGACGAAGCGUGAGUGACGGUAAUGGGUAAAGAAGCACCGGCUAACUACGUG
Molecule: ribosomal RNA, 468 nt
Filed under: uncultured bacterium
Lineage: Bacteria
Description: partial 16S ribosomal RNA
Rfam family: Bacterial small subunit ribosomal RNA
Source: RNAcentral